UAAUACGGGGGGGGCAAGCGUUGUUCGGAAUUACUGGGCGUAAAGGGCUCGUAGGCGGCCAACUAAGUCGGAUGUGAAAUCCCCAGGCUCAACCUGGGAACUGCGUCUGAUACUGGAUGGCUUGAAUUCGGGAGAGGGAUGCAGAAUUCCAGGUGUAGCGGUGAAAUGCGUAGAUAUCUGGAGGAAUACCGGUGGCGAAGGCGUCAUCCUGGACCGACAUUGACGCUGAGGAGCGAAAGCUAGGGGAGCAAACGG
RNAcentral lists this ribosomal RNA (255 nucleotides) under uncultured prokaryote. Its description in RNAcentral is "partial 16S ribosomal RNA". It matches the Rfam family "Bacterial small subunit ribosomal RNA", at positions 521 to 775 of the family's 1533-position model. The record is from RNAcentral.